UUUCCGUAGGUGAACCUGCGGAGGGAUCAUUACACAAAUAUGAAGGCGGGCUGGAACCUCUCGGGGUUACAGCCUUGCUGAAUUAUUCACCCUUGUCUUUUGCGUACUUCUUGUUUCCUUGGUGGGUUCGCCCACCACUAGGACAAACAUAAACCUUUUGUAAUUGCAAUCAGCGUCAGUAACAAAUUAAUAAUUACAACUUUCAACAACGGAUCUCUUGGUUCUGGCAUCGAUGAAGAACGCAGCGAAAUGCGAUAAGUAGUGUGAAUUGCAGAAUUCAGUGAAUCAUCGAAUCUUUGAACGCACAUUGCGCCCUUUGGUAUUCCAAAGGGCAUGCCUGUUCGAGCGUCAUUUGUACCCUCAAGCUUUGCUUGGUGUUGGGCGUCUUGUCUCUAGCUUUGCUGGAGACUCGCCUUAAAGUAAUUGGCAGCCGGCCUACUGGUUUCGGAGCGCAGCACAAGUCGCACUCUCUAUCAGCAAAGGUCUAGCAUCCAUUAAGCCUUUUUUUCAACUUUGACCUCGGAUCAGGAUGCAGUACCGCCGUUGCC
This 548-nucleotide ribosomal RNA is filed under the name Alternaria catalpae. RNAcentral describes it as "eukaryotic LSU rRNA". The stretch from base 198 to 351 matches the Rfam family "5.8S ribosomal RNA". Lineage: Eukaryota; Fungi; Ascomycota; Dothideomycetes; Pleosporales; Pleosporaceae. The record is from RNAcentral.